AGUGAACGCUGGCGGUAGGCCUAACACAUGCAAGUCGAACGGCAGCACAGGAGAGCUUGCUCUCUGGGUGGCGAGUGGCGGACGGGUGAGGAAUGCAUCGGAAUCUACUCUUUCGUGGGGGAUAACGUAGGGAAACUUACGCUAAUACCGCAUACGACCUACGGGUGAAAGCCGGGGACCUUCGGGCCUGGCGCGAAAGAAUGAGCCGAUGCCCGAUUAGCUAGUUGGUGGGGUAACGGCUCACCAAGGCGACGAUCGGUAGCUGGUCUGAGAGGAUGAUCAGCCACACUGGAACUGAGACACGGUCCAGACUCCUACGGGAGGCAGCAGUGGGGAAUAUUGGACAAUGGGCGCAAGCCUGAUCCAGCCAUACCGCGUGGGUGAAGAAGGCCUUCGGGUUGUAAAGCCCUUUUGUUGGGAAAGAAAAGCAGUCGGUUAAUACCCGAUUGUUCUGACGGUACCCAAAGAAUAAGC
Molecule: ribosomal RNA, 474 nt
Filed under: Xanthomonas sp. oral taxon 037
Lineage: Bacteria; Pseudomonadati; Pseudomonadota; Gammaproteobacteria; Lysobacterales; Lysobacteraceae
Description: bacterial SSU rRNA
Rfam family: Bacterial small subunit ribosomal RNA
Source: RNAcentral